AGAGUUUGAUCCUGGCUCAGGAUGAAUGCUGGCGGCGUGCUUAACACAUGCAAGUCGAACGAAGCACUUUAACCUGAUUCUUCGGAUGAAGGUUUUUGUGACUGAGUGGCGGACGGGUGAGUAACGCGUGGGUAACCUGCCUCAUACAGGGGGAUAACAGUUAGAAAUGACUGCUAAUACCGCAUAAGACCACGGAGCCGCAUGGCUCAGUGGGAAAAACUCCGGUGGUAUGAGAUGGACCCGCGUCUGAUUAGGUAGUUGGUGGGGUAACGGCCUACCAAGCCAACGAUCAGUAGCCGACCUGAGAGGGUGACCGGCCACAUUGGGACUGAGACACGGCCCAAACUCCUACGGGAGGCAGCAGUGGGGAAUAUUGCACAAUGGGGGAAACCCUGAUGCAGCGACGCCGCGUGAGCGAAGAAGUAUUUCGGUAUGUAAAGCUCUAUCAGCAGGGAAGAAAAUGACGGUACCUGACUAAGAAGCACCGGCUAAAUACGUGCCAGCAGCCGCGGUAAUACGUAUGGUGCAAGCGUUAUCCGGAUUUACUGGGUGUAAAGGGAGCGUAGACGGCUGUGUAAGUCUGAAGUGAAAGCCCGGGGCUCAACCCCGGGACUGCUUUGGAAACUAUGCAGCUAGAGUGUCGGAGAGGUAAGUGGAAUUCCCAGUGUUAGCGGUGAAAUGCGUAGAUAUUGGGAGGAACCCCCGUGGGCGAAGGCGGCUUACUGGACGAUGACUGACGUUGAGGCUCGAAAGCGUGGGGAGCAAACAGGAUUAGAUACCCUGGUAGUCCACGCCGUAAACGAUGACUACUAGGUGUCGGGGAGCAAAGCUCUUCGGUGCCGCAGCAAACGCAAUAAGUAGUCCACCUGGGGAGUACGACCGCAAGGUUGAAACUCAAAGGAAUUGACGGGGGCCCGCACAAGCAGUGGAGUAUGUGGUUUAAUUCGACGCAACGCGAAGAACCUUACCAAGUCUUGACAUCCUGCGACGCACAUAGAAAUAUGUGUUUCCUUCGGGACGCAGAGACAGGUGGUGCAUGGUUGUCGUCAGCUCGUGUCGUGAGAUGUUGGGUUAAGUCCCGCAACGAGCGCAACCCUUACUGUCAGUUACUACGCAAGAGGACUCUGGCAGGACUGCCGUUGACAAAACGGAGGAAGGUGGGGAUGACGUCAAAUCAUCAUGCCCUUUAUGACUUGGGCUACACACGUACUACAAUGGCGUUAAACAAAGAGAAGCAAGACCGCGAGGUGGAGCAAAACUCAGAAACAACGUCCCAGUUCGGACUGCAGGCUGCAACUCGCCUGCACGAAGUCGGAAUUGCUAGUAAUCGUGGAUCAGCAUGUCACGGUGAAUACGUUCCCGGGCCUUGUACUCACCGCCCGUCA
RNAcentral lists this ribosomal RNA (1385 nucleotides) under uncultured bacterium. Its description in RNAcentral is "bacterial SSU rRNA". It matches the Rfam family "Bacterial small subunit ribosomal RNA". The record is from RNAcentral.